GACGAACGCUGGCGGCGUGCUUAACACAUGCAAGUCGAACGGAAAGGCCCUGCUUUUGUGGGGUGCUCGAGUGGCGAACGGGUGAGUAACACGUGAGUAACCUGCCCUUGACUUUGGGAUAACUUCAGGAAACUGGGGCUAAUACCGGAUAGGAGCUCCUGCUGCAUGGUGGGGGUUGGAAAGUUUCGGCGGUUGGGGAUGGACUCGCGGCUUAUCAGCUUGUUGGUGGGGUAGUGGCUUACCAAGGCUUUGACGGGUAGCCGGCCUGAGAGGGUGACCGGGCACAAUGGGACUGAGGGACGGCCCAGACUCCUACGGGAGGCAACAGGGGGAAAUAUUGCACAAUGGGCGGAAGCCUGAUACAGCAACGCCGCGUGCGGGAUGACGGCCUGCGGGUUGUAAACCGCUUUCGCCUGUGACGAAGCGUGAGUGACGGUAAUGGGUAAAGAAGCACCGGCUAACUACGUG
This 468-nucleotide ribosomal RNA is filed under the name uncultured bacterium. RNAcentral's name for it is "partial 16S ribosomal RNA". It matches the Rfam family "Bacterial small subunit ribosomal RNA", at positions 28 to 507 of the family's 1533-position model. The record is from RNAcentral.